This is a long non-coding RNA of Zonotrichia leucophrys gambelii, 2174 nucleotides long. RefSeq lists it as uncharacterized. The record is from RefSeq and is a predicted model, not a curated record. The transcript has 3 exons. Lineage: Eukaryota; Metazoa; Chordata; Aves; Passeriformes; Passerellidae.
AAGGAUUUAUCAGGAGAACAAUGAGUUGAGCUGUGAGCCACAGGUGUAGGUACUCACUGUGGAUGGGCAGUGGCAGAGUAUCAAGGGCUGUACUUGUUCAGAUCAAAUGAGGAGAGGAGAAAGAAGGAGAAGGGACCUACAAUGGCCAGCCAGUCUAUCUGCAAUCAGGUCUUGGAGGGUGCAAGCAGCACCUCUCCAUGUGUAACAUCCAGCUGGGCCUGCAUUGAAGGAUAGAAGAAAAGGCUGAAGUCCUUCUGCUGUACCUUGAAGCCAGCUCCCAGCCCAUGUCUGACCCCAUCAUGGACUCAGGGAAAAAAACCAUUUGGGUGCUAGAGUGUUUGCUUUAUGGAGUGAACAGGAUAGACCUGCUUUGCAUGUGGGUCACCUUACUGGGAAGCCAGCUGUUCCCAGUACAGCACUGACUCGUUAAUUGUAGAGACAGGUGAUUCACAAAUGAGGUGGGAGACUGGAUGAAGAGUCACUGCUCCUCCAGAAAAUGAAAUUCAUCACUUAAAAAGUCAACUGGCUGGCUGCUGACAGGUAUAGAGGUAUCCUGAACUGCCCUCAAGGAAAAUUAUCAGGACAAGGUUAUGCAAAUCAAGUUGAACCUCACUGAUCUACAUGACUGUGGAGCAGGGGAUCCAUGUAGGAACUGCCCUGAAGGCAGGUUGGAAGGGGAACCAAUUUCUAGCUAGGAAAUGGUCAGAGCAGCUGGUGGAGGUAAAUUCUUCUGGUGGCACCAGUGAGAACAGCUUGGUCAGGUUGUGAAUCUCUGUCUUGCUGUACAGUCAUUAAGAGUCCACAUCAGUACCAUUGCUUUUAUUAUUAGACAAAUUCAUAAACUUAAAAAAAGAAAAAAAAAAGGUAGUAGAACCAAGUUUACUUUCCUUAAACUUAAACCUUAAGUCAGAUUAACUGACUCUAAUUAUCUCACCUAGUUUUAAUUCUUUAUUAAUCCUGUGCUAUAUCAGCUGCUCCAUCACUUGGCCCAGGAGUGAUCUCAGGCUUCUCUCUCUUCCUCAAAGGACUGUAUGAUGCCAUUCCAGUUGCAUUUGUCUAAUUUUGUGAGUCCAUGCCUUGAGACUCUGAAAUUUGUUUUGCAAAACCACUGCACAAUCACAGUUGCCAACAGGAUCUGGGCUUCAAAAAUGCAAAAUGCUGCACUGUACUCUAGAAUGUUAAACUGCUGCAAGCUGCAAGCACCCAAAACAUCAAGGUUUUUACCUUAACCUAUCUGCCUCUGAGAUUACCAAUAUCAAAAGAAGGUAAUAAACAUUCCCCUUACAGAGACACCAUGAAAAUAAAUGCAUCAAUAUUUUUGAAGCACUUGGAUACUUCAAAGGGGAGAAUUAUAAGUCCCAUGAUGACAUUAAUCAUUAGUUUUUGUGAGCAGGGUGGAAGAUACUAAAUUAAAUAAAUCAUGGGAAUCCAUAUCAAACAAAGAGAAAACAAAGUAUUGAAAUGAUUCUCAUUAAGACACAGAUGCUCAAAGGUAUUUUAAGCACUGAGAAUUAAGCUUCUUACGUGAGCAUCUAUUGUUUUUUAUUUACUUUUUUUUAAACUGAACUAAACAGGAGAUCUGCUAGAAAAAUUGCCAGCAAUUAUGUUAUUAUAGGUUGUAGCAUAAUGCACUAUUCAAUAAAGUUUGCAUCAGAAUGUAUGUGCACCAGAUCUAGGACACAAAUUGACAUUGCCCAAGCAAUCUUAGUUUCAGCAUUUACCAAUGUCACAUUGCUUGACUUUGCAAAACAUGCAAUUUUUCUCAAUAAUUAGUGUACAAAUAAUUUUCUCUGGUUUUAGGAUAAUACCCAAAAUCAUCCACAUUCCUUCAUGUGCUCACAUCUGUAGGAGACGGGAUGGGAACCCUUCUCUUGCUUCAUCCCUCCCUAUACGGGGUACAUACCUCUGGCAGCAGAGUAAAUGACACAAAUAAUUGGUUGUCAUCUUUUUUGAAUCAGCAUAGGAGGGACAGAACAUUUUGCCAGUAAGUUUCACCAGUGUUUGCUGACAUCAAAACAACAGUAGAAAUCAGGCAUUGUUAGUUCAAUCAGGAUCAUAAGAGAGCACACUGAAAUAAGCACAGGCUUUUGUAGCUGCUCCUCAGGCGGCUUCGCCCCUUUUACCACUUUCAACUCAUGCUUCUUUCUUUUGGUUUAUCUUACCUCACAGCCAGC